CUNCGGGAGGCAGCAGUAGGGAAUCUUCCGCAAUGGACGAAAGUCUGACGGAGCAACGCCGCGUGAGUGAUGAAGGUUUUCGGAUGUGUAAAGCUCUGUUGUUAGGGAAGAACAAGUGCCGUUCGAAUAGGGCGGUACCUUGACGGUACCUAACCAGAAAGCCACGGCUAACUACGUGCCAGCAGCCGCGGUAAUACGUAGGUGGCAAGCGUUGUCCGGAAUUAUUGGGCGUAAAGGGCUCGCAGGCGGUUUCUUAAGUCUGAUGUGAAAGCCCCCGGCUCAACCGGGGAGGGUCAUUGGAAACUGGGGAACUUGAGUGCAGAAGAGGAGAGUGGAAUUCCACGUGUAGCGGUGAAAUGCGUAGAGAUGUGGAGGAACACCAGUGGCGAAGGCGACUCUCUGGUCUGUAACUGACGCUGAGGAGCGAAAGCGUGGGGAGCGAACAGGAUUAGAUACCCUGGUAGUCCACGCCGUAAACGAUGAGUGCUAAGUGUUAGGGGGUUUCCGCCCCUUAGUGCUGCAGNAUAACGCNUUAAGCACUCCGCCUGGGGAGUACGGUCGCAGGACUGAAACUCAAAGGAAUUGACGGGGGCCCGCACAAG
Molecule: ribosomal RNA, 602 nt
Filed under: uncultured Bacillus sp.
Lineage: Bacteria; Bacillati; Bacillota; Bacilli; Caryophanales; Bacillaceae
Description: bacterial SSU rRNA
Rfam family: Bacterial small subunit ribosomal RNA
Source: RNAcentral